RNAcentral lists this ribosomal RNA (433 nucleotides) under uncultured bacterium. RNAcentral's name for it is "partial 16S ribosomal RNA". It matches the Rfam family "Bacterial small subunit ribosomal RNA", at positions 29 to 507 of the family's 1533-position model. The record is from RNAcentral.
AACGAACGCUGGCGGCAGGCCUAACACAUGCAAGUCGAGCGAGACCUUCGGGUCUAGCGGCGGACGGGUGAGUAACGCGUGGGAACGUGCCCUUUUCUACGGAAUAGCCUCGGGAAACUGAGCGUAAUACCGUAUACGCCCUUUGGGGGAAAGAUUUAUCGGAGAAGGAUCGGCCCGCGUUGGAUUAGGUAGUUGGUGGGGUAAUGGCCUACCAAGCCUACGAUCCAUAGCUGGUUUGAGAGGAUGAUCAGCCACACUGGGACUGAGACACGGCCCAGACUCCUACGGGAGGCAGCAGUGGGGGAUCUUAGACAAUGGGGGCAACCCUGAUCUAGCCAUGCCGCGUGAGUGAUGAAGGCCUUAGGGUUGUAAAGCUCUUUCAGCUGGGAAGAUAAUGACGGUACCAGCAGAAGAAGCCCCGGCUAACUCCGUG